RNAcentral lists this unclassified non-coding RNA (333 nucleotides) under soil metagenome. RNAcentral's name for it is "partial contains 5.8S ribosomal RNA, internal transcribed spacer 2, and large subunit ribosomal RNA". The stretch from base 1 to 120 matches the Rfam family "5.8S ribosomal RNA", at positions 35 to 154 of the family's 154-position model. The record is from RNAcentral.
GAUGAAGAACGUAGUGAAAUGCGAUACGUAAUGUGAAUUGCAGAAUUCAGUGAAUCAUCGAAUCUUUGAACGCACAUUGCGCCUGCCAGCACUCUGGCAGGCAUGCCUGUUCGAGCGUCAUUUCAACCAUCAAGCCCUAGGCUUGCGUUGGAGCCCUGCGGCUGCCGCAGGCCCCUAAAAGCAGUGGCGGGCUCGCUAUCACACCGAGUGCAGUAGAUUACUCUUCGCUCAGGGCGUGUGGCGGGUUCCAGCCGUGAAACCCCCUACUUCUCAAGGUUGACCUCGGAUCAGGUAGGAAUACCCGCUGAACUUAAGCAUAUCAAUAAGCGGAGA